Vigna radiata var. radiata (mung bean) is the source of this 898-nucleotide long non-coding RNA. RefSeq lists it as uncharacterized. The record is from RefSeq and is a predicted model, not a curated record. The transcript has 3 exons. NCBI's taxonomy places the organism in Eukaryota, Viridiplantae, Streptophyta, Magnoliopsida, Fabales, Fabaceae.
ACCCAGAGUCACCGAUAAAGUAAGCAAAGUAGAACGCCAAGUAUGCCCGCGAGAACUUUGUCAAUUACCGUGAAUCGAUCCUUCUGAAGUCUCUCACCUCUGUCAACGCACCUACGAUCACUCUCUCUGGGUUCUUCACAAGUAUUUCAUUGAUAAAUCUGUUGCGGAUAAGCUGAAAGGGUUAUGCUGCAGUUGAUGUUUCCAUGCAAUGCCACCCAAGUGUUUGUUUUUAUUUCUCACUCAAAGUCCCAUGGGCAACACACAGUUUAGAUGCGGUAGCUGCUGCAUGUUUAAAUUAUGAAUACUCUGAACCCCCUCGUCUGGUGCAUAGAUUAGACAGAGACUGUUCUGGCCUACUGGUGAUGGGAAGAACACAGACAAGUACUACAGUUCUGCAUUCCAUCUUUCGGGAGAAAACAUCUAGGGCAUGUCCAUUUCAUUGCUUUUCUUGAUUUUUAGCUGUUUGAUCUUAAAUAGAUUGGCGAAGAGAAGAGAAUACUACAAAGAAGGUAUUGGGCACUUGUCCUUGGAUGUCCUAGACGUUCAAAGGGGUUGGUCACUGCUUCACUGGGUAAGGUUGUAUCCAUAUUGUUGCUUGUUAACUGUUUACUAGAAUAUCAGUUGGUCAAUCUUACUCCUGGAAUGUUAUGCUUUGUGCAUGCUUCAUCCAUUUCGUAUCAGAAUGGUCAAACUUAUAAAACGUUUACUUACGUAGUGUGCAUAAAUAAAAAGAAUGCUUUGCACUGAACUGCAACCAGUAGUAUAAUCGAUUGUAUCUUUCAUGAGAAAAGAGGGGAAAAUAGUCAUCGUAUAUGUUUCUUUCCCAUGUACAGUGUUACGAUUUACUUUAUAGAAAAAAGAGAAAAUGUUGAGUGCAAGUUUCUCUCCACUUCAUAUC